CUCCGGAAGCCGCGGUCGUUUCUCCUACGGGAGGCAGCAGUGGGGAAUAUUGCACAAUGGGCGAAAGCCUGAUGCAGCGACGCCGCGUGAGUGAAGAAGUAUUUCGGUAUGUAAAGCUCUAUCAGCAGGGAAGAUAAAUGACGGUACCUGACUAUGAAGCC
RNAcentral lists this ribosomal RNA (161 nucleotides) under uncultured bacterium. Its description in RNAcentral is "partial 16S ribosomal RNA". It matches the Rfam family "Bacterial small subunit ribosomal RNA", at positions 312 to 492 of the family's 1533-position model. The record is from RNAcentral.